UACGUAGGGGGCGAGCGUUGUCCGGAAUCAUUGGGCGUAAAGCGCGUGUAGGCGGCCAUCUAAGUUUGGUGUGAAAGCCCAGGGCUUAACCCUGGAAGUGCACUGAAUACUGGAAGGCUAGAGGAUAAGAGGGGAGAUUGGAAUUCAUGGUGUAGGGGUGAAAUCCGUAGAUAUCAUGAGGAACAUCAGUGGCGAAGGCGAAUCUCUGGCUUAUUUCUGACGCUGAGACGCGAAAGCGUGGGGAGCAAACAGG
Molecule: ribosomal RNA, 253 nt
Filed under: uncultured bacterium
Lineage: Bacteria
Description: partial 16S ribosomal RNA
Rfam family: Bacterial small subunit ribosomal RNA
Source: RNAcentral